This 467-nucleotide ribosomal RNA is filed under the name uncultured bacterium. RNAcentral's name for it is "partial 16S ribosomal RNA". It matches the Rfam family "Bacterial small subunit ribosomal RNA", at positions 28 to 507 of the family's 1533-position model. The record is from RNAcentral.
GACGAACGCUGGCGGCGUGCUUAACACAUGCAAGUCGAACGGAAAGGCUCCAGCUUGCUGGAGUGCUCGAGUGGCGAACGGGUGAGUAACACGUGGGCAAUCUGCCCUGCACUCUGGGAUAAGCCUGGGAAACUGGGUCUAAUACCGGAUAGGACCUUUCUCCUCAUGGGGUUUGGUGGAAAGUUUUUCGGUGCAGGAUGAGCCCGCGGCCUAUCAGCUUGUUGGUGGGGUAAUGGCCUACCAAGGCGACGACGGGUAGCCGGCCUGAGAGGGUGAUCGGCCACAUUGGGUCUGCGCUACGGCCCAGUCUCCUACGGGCGCCAGCAGUGGUGAAUAUUGCACAAUGGGCCAACGCCUCAUGCAGCGACGCCGCGUGGUGGAUGUCUGCCUUCGGGUUGUAAACCUCUUUCAGUAGUGACGAAGCGCGAGUGACGGUACCUUCAGAAGAAGCACCGGCUACCUACGUG